RNAcentral lists this long non-coding RNA (974 nucleotides) under Sorghum bicolor (sorghum). RNAcentral's name for it is "long non-coding RNA (SBIC_LNC001325)". The record is from RNAcentral. Lineage: Eukaryota; Viridiplantae; Streptophyta; Magnoliopsida; Poales; Poaceae.
GUCACUUGGAGUUUUUGUAUAUUUUUAAAAGAAAGUUAGCAUACAUUUUUAUCCUCAUAGGUUCUCUCAGAUCACUCAUUAUCUUUUGUAUAUAUAUCUCACUGAGGUUGUUUUAUUUUGCAAAAAUUCUUAAGCAUACUCACUUUGCAUUUAUUGCCUGAUCAAAACGGGAUCCGAGGAGGGGAAUGUCAUACUCUUAGAUCAAAGACUUUAAAAACUUUGUCAACUCUUGCUGGCAUAUUGCUUAUUAGAGGGACCAUGGGCUAUCAUAUUUUUUUUUAAGUGGAUACCGAGGUACCCCUAAUUCUACUGCCGGACACUUGUCCAUUUUUUCUGCGAGGUUGUCGAGCACUUGCUCCUUUUUAUUUCCUCGAAAUAUCUUCUAUUUUUGCAUAGCCCAUGCCUCUAAUGCAAUAAUACUUCGGAAGAGUGAAUCUUUCUGAAAUAAUGUCUUGAUCUUGGGAGCAUGAUAAAUCUCUCAACAAGGGUCUAACUCAUUUUGAACAAACUCAAUACAGAGCAGAUAGCUUUUAUAAUCAUAAUUAAUAUUUCAGUUUUAUCAGGCAUAUAAAACACUAAGGAUGGUAGCUAGAAAUUUGAAUAUUUUGAAAUAAGUUCUCCAAGCAACAAUGAUAUCAAGAAUAAGAAACUCAUACUCUACCAUCACAUAUUCCAUAUUGACUUAAGUAACACAGGGUUUUAAAAUGAUUUUAUACUAAUUGCAAGUUUUCAGGAAAUAUCACAGAUUGAGAUUAAUCAUGAUUAGAAAUAUUUUAAUCUUUUUAAUUUAUCAUGUCGGAAACAGUAAUCUGCAUAAUCCAAAAUAUGUGUAAAGUAAAGUGUGCAGAGUGUGUACCUGAAUCGUGGAGUGGUGUAGUCGGAGUGUGUUUGGCAUGUUGAGGGAUCUCCCCCAUACUUGUUUUCUGCUUUCUUGCACAAAAGUAAAGUAGAGACACACAAGACAUAAUAAUAAU